CAGCCGCCGCGGUAAUACGGAGGGUGCAAGCGUUAAUCGGAAUUACUGGGCGUAAAGCGCACGCAGGCGGUCUGUCAAGUCGGAUGUGAAAUCCCCGGGCUCAACCUGGGAACUGCAUUCGAAACUGGCAGGCUAGAGUCUUGUAGAGGGGGGUAGAAUUCCAGGUGUAGCGGUGAAAUGCGUAGAGAUCUGGAGGAAUACCGGUGGCGAAGGCGGCCCCCUGGACAAAGACUGACGCUCAGGUGCGAAAGCGUGGGGAGCAAACAGGAUUAGAUACCCGCGUAGUCCCUGUCUCUUAUAC
Molecule: ribosomal RNA, 301 nt
Filed under: uncultured bacterium
Lineage: Bacteria
Description: partial 16S ribosomal RNA
Rfam family: Bacterial small subunit ribosomal RNA
Source: RNAcentral